UGAUCCUGGCUCAGAACGUACGCUGGCGGCACGCCUAACACAUGCAAGUCGAACGAAGUAGCAAUACUUAGUGGCAGACGGGUGAGUAACAUGUGGGUAUCUGCCCUUUGGCCUGGAAUAACACGAGGAAACUUGUGCUAAUACCGGAUAAGUCUUUACGGAGAAAGCUUUAUGCACCAUUGGAUGAGCCCGCACUUGAUUAGUUUGUUGGUGGGGUAAUGGCCUACCAAGACUGUGAUCAAUAGCUGAUUUGAGAGGAUGAUCAGCCACAUUGGGACUGAGACACGGCCCAAACUCCUACGGGAGGCAGCAGUGGGGAAUCUUGCGCAAUGGAGGAAACUCUGAUGCAGCGAUGCCGCGUGAGUGAAGAAGGCCCUUGGGUUGUAAAGCUCUUUCGUCGGGGAAGAAAAUGACUGUACCCGAAUAAGAAGGUCCGGCUAACUUCGUGCCAGCAGCCGCGGUAAUACGAAGGGACCUAGCGUAGUUCGGAAUUACUGGGCUUAAAGAGUUCGUAGGUGGUUGAAAAAGUUAGUGGUGAAAUCCCAGAGCUUAACUCUGGAACUGCCAUUAAAACUUUUCAGCUAGAGUAUGAUAGAGGAAAGCAGAAUUUCUAGUGUAGAGGUGAAAUUCGUAGAUAUUAGAAAGAAUACCAAUUGCGAAGGCAGCUUUCUGGAUCAUUACUGACACUGAGGAACGAAAGCAUGGGUAGCGAAGAGGAUUAGAUACCCUCGUAGU
This 735-nucleotide ribosomal RNA is filed under the name uncultured marine bacterium. RNAcentral describes it as "bacterial SSU rRNA". It matches the Rfam family "Bacterial small subunit ribosomal RNA", at positions 14 to 794 of the family's 1533-position model. The record is from RNAcentral.